This 70-nucleotide transfer RNA is filed under the name Phytophthora infestans T30-4. It matches the Rfam family "tRNA". From Rfam's summary of the family: Transfer RNA (tRNA) molecules are approximately 80 nucleotides in length. Their secondary structure includes four short double-helical elements and three loops (D, anti-codon, and T loops). The record is from Rfam by way of RNAcentral. Lineage: Eukaryota; Oomycota; Peronosporomycetes; Peronosporales; Peronosporaceae.
ACCCGUCUAGCUCAGUCGGUAGAGCGCUGGCCUUUUAAGCCAGUGGUCGUGCGUUCGAUGCCCACGGGUG